This 274-nucleotide ribosomal RNA is filed under the name uncultured bacterium. RNAcentral describes it as "partial 16S ribosomal RNA". It matches the Rfam family "Bacterial small subunit ribosomal RNA", at positions 524 to 796 of the family's 1533-position model. The record is from RNAcentral.
UACGUAGGGGGCAAGCGUUGUCCGGAAUUACUGGGUGUAAAGGGCGUGUAGGCGACCCCUUAAGUUGAAUGUGAAAUCUCCCGGCUCAACUGGGAGGAGUCAUUCAAUACUGAGGGGAUAUGAGGACAGAAGAGGGAAGUGGAAUUCCCGGUGUAGCGGUAAAAUGCGUAGAUAUCGGGAGGAACACCAGUGGCGAAGGCGGCUUCCUGGUCUGUCCCUGACGCUGAUGCGCGAAAGCCAGGGGAGCAAACGGGAUUAGAUACCCCCGUAGUCC